Molecule: ribosomal RNA, 253 nt
Filed under: uncultured bacterium
Lineage: Bacteria
Description: partial 16S ribosomal RNA
Rfam family: Bacterial small subunit ribosomal RNA
Source: RNAcentral
UACAGAGGUCCCAAGCGUUGUUCGGAUUCACUGGGCGUAAAGGGUGCGUAGGUGGUGAGGUAAGUCGGAUGUGAAAUCUCCGAGCUCAACUCGGAAACUGCAUUGGAAACUACCUUGCUCGAGGGUUGGAGGGGGGACUGGAAUGCUUGGUGUAGCAGUGAAAUUCGUAGAUAUUGGGAAGAACACCGGUGGCGAAGGCGGCGACCUGGUCCGUGACUGACGCUGAGGCGCGAAAGCGUGGGGAGCAAACAGG